UUGGAAAAACUUAGAAAUGCUACUGAGUUGCAAUUUUUAAAUUAUCUAUCUGGACACGGUAUAAAAACUCAUAAUAACUUU
Molecule: small RNA, 81 nt
Filed under: Arabidopsis thaliana (thale cress)
Lineage: Eukaryota; Viridiplantae; Streptophyta; Magnoliopsida; Brassicales; Brassicaceae
Description: ATSL033180
Source: RNAcentral